CUGAAAGGUUGCACAGAUGGCAAUGUGGCAGUUUCCCGCCCCCGAAGCCAGAUCUCUUUCUCUCUGAGAUGGCACAUUCAUUCAGAAACAGUCCAAAAAGAACUUUUGCAAUUAGAAAUUAAGGAAAGGGAAGGACAAAAGCACUAGUCUGAACCCAGCUUCUUGAUAGCUAAUGCUGUAUAUUAGACAAUACAAACUAUUGUUUCUCAUUUGCAUCAGCAAACAAAGCCCCUGCUGCUAAGUAUCAUUAAGAGGAAAGCUCCCACUGUGUGAAACAAUAAUCAUAUUCAUACUGAUGGGCAAGAUACACUGAAACAAACAAACAAAAAAAGCUUUGUGAAAUCUUAAUUGAAUCGUUCCUGUACUGACAGUGUUCUUUAAUGUUUUGUUCAUUUGGAAUGGGCCUGAAUCAUUUGAGGAUAACAGUAAAAGGAUACCUGCGAACAUGUGCAGAAAACCCAACUUUCAUCAGAUGUGCUGCUAUGAUUGACACACGUAAGAGAAUGUUAUGUGCCACAGGGCAGGUCUAAAACUGAAGUUUUGAUUUACAAGUUUUAUGCAUUCUAAUCUUAUCCUAUUGUAACCGAGAGUAUGAAUAUGUGUACCUUCUACUUCUGCAGUUGCCAUAUUGGCUAUCUAGCAUGUUUUAUUAAUGUAUGGAGGUGUUUUUAUCAUGCUGGUCUAUGACUGGAAUAAAGAUUUGAAUUGGAGGUCAGAUGUGAUGUUAGGUUUGAUAUGAACUACAAGCAGAAGAAGCACAAGGAAUCUGGGCUUCGUGGAGCUUUGGCUGUGUGAAAACCUCUCUAACCAAUGAUCAGUUGAUAGAGGGAGCCGCUUUGAAGUCUUUGCACAGAGAGGAAUGAUAAUAAAGAUGGAGCAAUUCCCCAUCUGCAGAGAAAGCACUUUGUAUUCAAGGUGCUUCUCCAAGUGCUUUGCAUGCCAACUGCUUCCUUUGGAAAGGAAAAAAUUGCUCCUUUCCCCUAUGCUUUCCAAGUCCCUAGUGCAAUAAUUUCCAAUGGCUUGCAAAGCCCCUUUUCUUCUGAAGCCCUGACAAUCAGCUGAUUUGGGUAUAACUGGGAAACACGGGAGGGAGGGGUGGUCUUUGGCAGCAUUGGUGAUUGGUGGGGCUUUCAAAUCCCUUUCUCCCAAGCCUUGCUUUUACCUGCCUCUCAUGUGAUGUCAUAUAUAACAGCAGGUACAGGACAGUUGGGUGUGGUAUAGCUAAAAUGGCCUCCUGGGCCAAAUGAGGAUGCCUGGCAUGCAAUAUUAGGCUCACAGACCAGAGAUUCCAUGAGGUGUAAAAUUUGGAAGACAUCAUGGUAUUUAAGUUAAUUGAAGCUAACCUAUUCCUUUGUCCUCACUGGGAUUUAAGCAUCAUCCCCUUCUUUAGAUGGUGAUUUCUGCUGGGUUUUGAGAUUUCUGAUGCCUGUUUCAGAUAUACAAUAUUUAUUAUUUAUGUAUUUAUUAGAUUUAUAUAUGUAAUAGAAUAAAAGAUAGUAGCAUUCCUUGAUAUUGCAGUCAUUGGCUGAUGAACAUGCAGAGGCCAACUCACCAUUUGUUCUUUGUCCCUUGAUGAGCAUGAUAAUGAAUAUUUGUUUUUCAAUGUCUGUGUCCAAAAUACUUCUCUUUGCCAGUCUUCCUCAGAAUGGCAACAUUUCAUAGACCAAUCCUGCAUAUCCAACACACAACAAAUUCCAACCAAAUGAACAAAUGUGGUGAGUGACUCACUGACCAAUUACAUUGGUGUAGUCUCAAGGGAUAUAAUGAGUCUACACUAGUAAAUGACCAGUGAAUCACCUGAAUAAUGUUCCUUUUGUUGGCAUGAUUAAAAAUCUAUUACCUACUACGGUAUUAAUCACUGUCAUUUCAGAACUGCACAUCAUUAACUUCAACUUUGGGUUAUUACCUACUUUAUAAUGAAGGCAACAUUUUUGUUAUAUAUUUGUGUAAUGCUUAGCACAACUGAGGAAUUUAUCCUUCUAUUGAAGUCUGAGAGCAUUAGCAGAAUAAAUACAGAUUAACAUCUAUCUUUUCACUGUGAUACUCCAAUGCAACAAAAUAAUUUUUACAUUUAUAUACACAAUAAGUAAUCUUGUGACUUUCUUAGACUCUCAAGCUUCAGUUUUUUAAAAAACAGAAAAAGAAAUUGUUUACACUAACCCAUUUUCCUAUGAACAUAUCCAUAUGAACAUAUUAUGGAAGAUGGGAUCACAUCCAUUGGCUUUAUCCCCCAUUGUGAUCCUUGGUUUGGGACCAAGUUACUAACACCUACCUAAUCCACCCUUUUCCAAAAUGCUAUCCUUCAGAUGCCUUUGACUACAAUUUUCAUCAGUCACAGCCAGCAUUGUCAAUGAUCAAGGAUGAUGGGGAUUCAAAACAACACCUGGAAGACGUUGACACAAGAAAAACUGACCUCUGCACAGUCCCCCCCCAUAUGUGCUUUUAUUUACUGUUUUAAAUAAAUGCAUAUAAAUGUAAUUUUGCUUACACCACAUAAUGAAGGUGAAACAUGAUUUAAUUAAUUGAUUUAAUUAAUUAUUUCCCGCCACCUUCACAUAUUGCACAAAUCAGAGAUUCCAUGAAGUGUUUUCUGACUCCUGCAGACCACACACAUAGGAUAAUAGAAUCAUAGAAUUAUAGAGUUGGAAGGGACCCCACAGGUAUAGCUAAGUUGGUUAGAGCAUGGUGCUGAUUAUGCCAAGGUUGCAGGUUUGAUGCCAGUAUUGGGCAGCUGCAUAUAUAGGUUGGACCAGAUGAUUCUCAGGGUCCCUUCCAACUCUAUGGUUCUAUGAAUUUUAGGAACCCCAUGCAAUGCAGGAAUCUCAACAAAGAAUCAUAGAAUUGUAUUAUUAUUAUUAUUAUUAUUAUUAUUAUUAUUAAUGUUACAGGUAUAUAAUAUUCAUAUAGUUUAAGCUUUAUUUCAUGUGUAUUUAUUUUUACUCCACUGACAUUCUUACAGGUCCUGAUUUUAAUUGCAAGUGGAUUUAUUCCCAAUGCAAACGAUAGUGGAGAUGAAGAACAACCUUGUCUUGUACCUUUAUAUGAAUUAAGGAGAUUUGAAGUUAUCCCAUUGAUACAUAUCUUUGCUUUUGUGCUCAACACAUUACCUGUACCUUUGUUUUAAAUCUUUCCCCCAAAAUGGUAAGCUUUAACAUCUCAACCAAAAAUGGCCAUUCAAUAUUGUCAAAAGCUUUUGCUGUGUCCAUAACACCACCACCAACACCACCACCACCACCACCAC
Molecule: non-coding RNA, 3241 nt
Organism: Podarcis lilfordi (Lilford's wall lizard)
Lineage: Eukaryota; Metazoa; Chordata; Lepidosauria; Squamata; Lacertidae
Source: the annotation of a GenBank genome assembly